Molecule: ribosomal RNA, 1057 nt
Filed under: human gut metagenome
Description: bacterial LSU rRNA
Rfam family: Bacterial large subunit ribosomal RNA
Source: RNAcentral
UUUCUUGGGGAAGGUUCGUCCGCCCAAGGUAAGCCGGGAGCUAAGGCGAGGCCGCAAGGCGUAGUCGAUGCACAUACGGUAGAAAUUCCGUAGCCGGCUCAACUGUUAAGCAUACUGACACAUGAGAGUAGCUCUACCGGGCGUUGGUUGCCCCGGGCGUAAGCGAGCCGAAUGAGGCGAAGUGAGUAAAUCUUGUGGCGAGAAAAGGUGUGUGUAUUGGUUGGGCUGCCCGUACCGCAAACCGACACAGGUAGAUGAGGAGAAGAUCCUAAGGCCAUCGGGAGAAGGGUUGUUAAGGAACUAGGCAAAUUGACCCCGUAACUUCGGGAGAAGGGGUGCCUACGAGAGUAGGCCGCAGAGAAUCGGCCCAAGCAACUGUUUACCAAAAACACAGGUCUCUGCUAAAUCGAAAGAUGACGUAUAGGGGCUGACGCCUGCCCGGUGCUGGAAGGUUAAGAGGAGGACUUAGUGGCAACACGAAGGCCCGAAUUGAAGCCCCAGUAAACGGCGGCCGUAACUAUAACGGUCCUAAGGUAGCGAAAUUCCUUGUCAGGUAAGUUCUGACCCGCACGAAAGGCGUAACGAUUUGGGCGCUGUCUCGGCAGCAGACUCGGUGAAAUCUUAGUACCUGUGAAAAUGCAGGUUACCCGCAACUAGACGGAAAGACCCCAUGGAGCUUUACUGCAGCCUGAUAUUGAGUUUCGAUCAGAGAUGUACAGGAUAGGUGGGAGACAAAGAGACAUGCACGCCAGUGUAUGAGGAGUCGCUGUUGGGAUACCACUCUUGUCUGAUUGGAAUUCUAACCUGCAUCCCUAAGCGGGAUGAGGGACCGUGUCAGGUGGGCAGUUUGACUGGGGCGGUCGCCUCCCAAAGAGUAACGGAGGCGCCCAAAGGUACGCUCAGAUUGGAUGGAAAUCAAUCGACGAGUGCAAAUGCAGAAGCGUGCUUGACUGCGAGACAAACAGGUCGAGCAGGGACGAAAGUCGGGAUUAGUGAUCCGGCGGUGCAGAAUGGAAUGGCCGUCGCUUAACGGAUAAAAGCUACCCUGGGGAUAACA